RNAcentral lists this unclassified non-coding RNA (346 nucleotides) under Hevea brasiliensis (rubber tree). Lineage: Eukaryota; Viridiplantae; Streptophyta; Magnoliopsida; Malpighiales; Euphorbiaceae. The record is from RNAcentral.
CAAUUCAAUAAUAUGAUAACACGAGAUGCAGUAACUUGGAGCACCAUGAUUGCUGGCUUCACCCACUGUGGCAUGCCUGACGAAGCAAUUGCUGUUUUCCGAGAGAUGAGCCACACUUCUGAACGGCCCAAUGCUGUUACCAUGUUAAAUCUUCUUGAAGCUUGCUCUCUUUCUGCAGAUGUGAAAAGAUCAAGAUGGGCUCAUGGCAUUGCUAUUCGAGGAGGGUUGGAAUCUAAUGUAGUAGUGGGAACUGCCAUCUUAGAUAUGUACUCAAAAUGUGGUUCCAUUGGAUCUUCAAGGAAAGUGUUUGACCGCAUUCCAUACAAGAAUGUUGUGACCUGGAGUG